RNAcentral lists this ribosomal RNA (301 nucleotides) under uncultured bacterium. RNAcentral's name for it is "partial 16S ribosomal RNA". It matches the Rfam family "Bacterial small subunit ribosomal RNA", at positions 509 to 807 of the family's 1533-position model. The record is from RNAcentral.
CAGCCGCCGCGGGAAUACGUAGGGCGCGAGCGUUAAUCGGAAUUACUGGGCGUAAAGCGUGCGCAGGCGGUUUCGUAAGACAGGCGUGAAAUCCCCGGGCUCAACCUGGGAAUGGCGCUUGUGACUGCAAAGCUAGAGUGCGGCAGAGGGGGAUGGAAUUCCGCGUGUAGCAGUGAAAUGCGUAGAUAUGCGGAGGAACACCGAUGGCGAAGGCAAUCCCCUGGGCCUGCACUGACGCUCAUGCACGAAAGCGUGGGGAGCAAACAGGAUUAGAUACCCGUGUAGUCCCUGUCUCUUAUAC